CUAAUACCUCAUAAUGCAGCGGAUCCGCAUGGAUAUGUUGUUAAGUUUACCGCCUUGGGAUAGGCUUGCGUCUGAUUAGCUAGUUGGUGUGGUAAUGGCACACCAAGGCUACGAUCAGUAACUGGUCUGAGAGGAUGAUCAGUCACACUGGAACUGAGACACGGUCCAGACUCCUACGGGAGGCAGCAGUGAGGAAUAUUGGGCAAUGCACGAAAGUGUGACCCAGCAACGCCGCGUGGAGGAUGAAGGUAUUCUAUAUCGUAAACUCCUGUGAGAGCAGACGAAAGACAGAUUAUUAAUUUGGAUGACUGUAUGCUCAGAGGAAGCCCCGGCUAACUACGUG
RNAcentral lists this ribosomal RNA (343 nucleotides) under uncultured bacterium. RNAcentral's name for it is "bacterial SSU rRNA". It matches the Rfam family "Bacterial small subunit ribosomal RNA", at positions 163 to 507 of the family's 1533-position model. The record is from RNAcentral.